CUUUUUGGAAGAGUAUUUCUAUUUUAAGUUAUUCCUCAGACUCGAAAGGAAACACAGGCCAACUUUCCAGUGAUGAAUACUUCAGAAUGAAACUGCAGUGGAAAUCCAUCAGCCAGGAACAAGAGAAAAGAAAUUCGAGGUUAAGAGAUUAUAGAAGUCUUAUCGAAAAAGAUGUUAACAGAACAGAUCGAACAAACAAGUUUUAUGAAGGCCAAGAUAAUCCAGGGUUGAUUUUGCUUCAUGACAUUUUGAUGACCUACUGUAUGUAUGAUUUUGAUUUAGAAAUUUGUUGUAAGAACUGAUGCCGGGGCUGGGUGCGGAGGCUCACGCCUGUAAUCCCAGCACUUCAGGAAGUCAAGGCAGGUGGAUCACCUGAGGACAGGAGUUCAAGACCAGCCUGGCCAACAUGGAUAUGUUCAGGGAAUGAGUGAUUUACUUUCCCCUCUUUUAUAUGUGAUGGAAAAUGAAGUGGAUGCCUUUUGGUGCUUUGCCUCUUACAUGGACCAAAUGCAUCAGAAUUUUGAAGAACAAAUGCAAGGCAUGAAGACCCAGCUAAUUCAGCUGAGUACCUUACUUCGAUUGUUAGACAGUGGAUUUUGCAGUUACUUAGAAUCUCAGGACUCUGGAUACCUUUAUUUUUGCUUCAGAUGGCUUUUA
This 657-nucleotide small RNA is filed under the name Pan troglodytes (chimpanzee). RNAcentral describes it as "processed transcript". Lineage: Eukaryota; Metazoa; Chordata; Mammalia; Primates; Hominidae. The record is from RNAcentral.